Molecule: ribosomal RNA, 554 nt
Filed under: uncultured bacterium
Lineage: Bacteria
Description: bacterial SSU rRNA
Rfam family: Bacterial small subunit ribosomal RNA
Source: RNAcentral
CAUGAUCAGCAUGCCGCGUGUGUGAAGAAGGUUUUCGGAUUGUAAAGCCCUUUUGUUGGGGACGAUGAUUACCGGACCCGCAGAAUAAGCUCCGGCUAUUUUCCUGCCAACAACCACCGGCUUACUACGGGCCCUAGCGUUGCUCAAUAUGACUGGGCGUAAAGGGCGCGUAAAUUACUGGCCCUAUCGGGUGUGUAAUUCCUGGACUUAACCAUCUGUGAAAUCCCUGGGCUCAACCUCUACAGUGAGGAAGAGACUGUUGGAAUUUCCUAUGUAAAAGGGAAAUUCAAUUUCCUGGGAAACAACACCAUGGGCAAAGGCCGCAACGUGCUCCUUUACUGACGCUGACUCCCUGAACCGUGAGGAACAAUCAAGAUUAAAUACCCUGGUAGUCCACGCUGUAAACUAUGUUGGCUUGAUGUUGGGGUGCUUAUCUCUUCUAUGUGUGAGCUAACGCAAUAAGCACACCGACUGGGGAGUACGGCCGCAAGGACCAAACGCAAAGGACUUUACCGAGAUUAAAACUCAGUGUUUUGACGGUCGGAUACCUUGGA